AGUUCCUUCGGGAAUGGACAAAAUGGAUAGUAGCUAGUUUUUUGGGAUAGUGGCAGAAGGGUGAGUAACACGUGGGUAAUUUACCUUGAGAUGGGGGAUAGCUUCGAGAAAUCGGAGGUAAUACCUCGUAAGUCUGUAGCACUUCGGUACUACAGAGAAAGAUGGCGAGUUCCUUCGGGAACGCUAUCGUCUUAAGAACAGCCCGCGUCUUAUCAGCUAGUUGGUGGGGUAAUGGCUUACCAAGGCUAUGACGAGUAGUCGGCAUUAGUGUGUGAUCGGCCACACCGGGACUGAGAUACUGCCCGGACUCCUACGGGAGGCUGCAGUCGAGAAUCUUUCCCAAUGCCCGAAAGGGUGAGGAUGCGACGCCGCGUGGGGGAUGAAGGUCUUCGGAUUGUAAACCCCUUUUGUAAGAGAGGAAACGUCGAUAGUGAAUAAUUAUCGAAACUGACAUUAUCUUACGAAUAAGCCACGGCUAACUCCGUGCCAGCAGCCGCGGUAAUACGGAGGUGGCAAGCGUUACUCGGAAUUACUGGGUGUAAAGGGUCCGCAGGCGUCCUGAUAAGUUUUAGGUGAAAUCUUUCCGCUUAACGGAAAAACUGCCUAAAAAACCAUCAGGAUAGAGGACAAGAGAGGAAAGCAGAACUGCCAAUGUAAGGGUGAAAUCUGUGGAUAUUGGCAGGAAUGCCAGUGACGAAGGUGGCUUUCUGGAUUGUACCUGACGCUCAGGGACGAAAGCUAGGGGAGCAAACAGGAUUAGAUACCCUGGUAGUCCUAGCCGUAAACGAUGAGCACUAGGUGUUUCCCACGUUAGUGGGGGGCGCCGCAGUUAACGCGUUAAGUGCUCCACCUGGGGACUACGGCCGCAAGGCUAAAACUCAAAGGAAUUGACGGGGGCCCGCACAAGCGGUGGAACACGUGGUUUAAUUCGAUGCUACGCGAGGAACCUUACCAGGGCUUGACAUGCUUUAAGUAUUUCGGUGGAAACAUUGAAAGACCGUAUCCAAUCGGAGUUUAGCACAGGUGCUGCAUGGUUGUCGUCAGCUCGUGCCGUGAGGUGUCGCCUUAAGUGGUCUAACGAGCGCAACCCUCACUUUUAGUUGCCAUUUUGUCUUUUAUUAGAUAAAAGCACUCUAAAGGGACUGCCCACGUUAAGUGGGAGGAAGGUGGGGACGACGUCAAAUCAGCAUGGCCUUUAUGUCCUGGGCUACACACGUGUUACAAUGGCGUAUACAGUGGGAUGCAAAGCCGCGAGGUGAAGCAAAUCCUUCAAAGUACGCCCCAGUUCGGAUUGAGGGCUGCAAUUCGCCCUCAUGAAGUUGGAAUCGCUAGUAAUGGCGUAUCAGCAACGACGCCGUGAAUACGUUCCCGGGCCUUGUACACACCGCCCGUCAAGCGCUGAAAGUGAGGGGCACCCGAAGCCCCAACAUUAGUUGGGAUCACGGUGAAUUUCAUGAUUGGUGCUAAGUCGUAACAAGGUA
Molecule: ribosomal RNA, 1481 nt
Filed under: metagenome
Description: bacterial SSU rRNA
Rfam family: Bacterial small subunit ribosomal RNA
Source: RNAcentral